UGCAAGUCGACGGCAGCACGGACUUCGGUCUGGUGGCGAGUGGCGAACGGGYGAKUAAUAUAUCGGAACGUAUCCAUAAKGGGGGAUAACUAAUCGAAAGGUUGGCUAAUACCGCAUACGCCCUACGGGGGAAAGCUAGGGAUCUUCGGACCUGGCGUUAAUGGAGCGGCCGAUAUCUGAUUAGCUAGUUGGKGGGGUAAAGGCCCACCARGGCGACRAUCAGUAGCUGGUCUGAGAGGACGACCAGCCACACUGGAACUGAGACACGGUCCAGACUCCUACGGGAGGCAGCAGUGGGGAAUUUUGGACAAUGGGCGCAAGCCUGAUCCAGCCAUUCCGCGUGAGUGAAGAAGGCCUUCGGGUUGUAAAGCUCUUUCGCAAGGGAAGAAAACUUAUCCUCUAACAUAGGAUGAGGUUGACGGUACCUUGAUAAGAAGCACCGGCUAACUACGUGCCAGCAGCCGCGGUAAUACGUAGGGUGCGAGCGUUAAUCGGAAUUACUGGGCGUAAAGCGUGCGCAGGCUGUUUUGUAAGUCAGAUGUGAAAUCCCUGAGCUCAACUUAGGAACUGCGUUUGAAACUACAAGACUAGAAUAUGUCAGGGGGGGGUAGAAUUCCACGUGUAGCAGUGAAAUGCGUAGAGAUGUGGAGGAAUACCAAUGGCGAAGGCAGCCCCCUGGGAUAAUAUUGACGCUCAUGCACGAAAGCGUGGGGAGCAAACAGGAUUAGAUACCCUGGUAGUCCA
RNAcentral lists this ribosomal RNA (744 nucleotides) under uncultured bacterium. Its description in RNAcentral is "bacterial SSU rRNA". It matches the Rfam family "Bacterial small subunit ribosomal RNA", at positions 56 to 797 of the family's 1533-position model. The record is from RNAcentral.